AUUAACCUGCGGCAUCUUUCCAUCAGUCGACGGUACAGGGACUGCUCCGCUCAGUGGCGAACGGGUAGUAUAUAUCGGAACGGUACCCAAGAGUGGGGGAUAACGUAGCGAAAGUUCGCUAAUCCUCAUCCGAUCCAAGGAUAAAGCAGGGGACCUUCGGGCCGUGUGCUCCUGGAGCGGCCGAUAUCUGAUUAGCUAGUUGGUGAGGUAAAGGCUCACCAAGGCGACGAUCAGUAGCUGGUCUGAGAGGACGACCAGCCACACUGGAACUGAGACACGGUCCAGACUCCUACGGGAGGCAGCAGUGGGGAAUUUUGGACAAUGGGCGCAAGCCUGAUCCAGCAAUGCCGCGUGAGUGAAGAAGGCCUUCGGGUUGUAAAGCUCUUGUGUCAGGGAAGAAACGGCAGGGGCUAAUAUCCUUUGCUAAUGGCG
Molecule: ribosomal RNA, 432 nt
Filed under: uncultured bacterium
Lineage: Bacteria
Description: bacterial SSU rRNA
Rfam family: Bacterial small subunit ribosomal RNA
Source: RNAcentral